CAAACAAACAGUUUCCAGUUUUCUAUAGUAACUCUUAUCCCUUUAACUUUGCUUCAUUUUGUAACAGGAUCAAUUUUUAAAAGGAAAAAAAAAUCUAUCAUGAAAUUAGUAACAUGCUCUAAUAAAAUACAAAACAUUCUUACAAGCAAUAUUUCCAAUUUAAACAGAAUUUUGUUCACAUUUCUACAAAGUGCAGUAAUUCCCCCUCCUGUAUUUUCUCUCUCUUUCUUUAACAUGUUUAAAAGUUUCAAGUUCUACAGAUAGAGAUUUGGGGAAACAUCGAAUUAUUUUCAAAGAUGUCUAUUUUCCUUUACUCCUUGCACAAAGGGGAACUUUCUUCCCCUUCUCCAAAAAUCUCAUUCUUACCUGAAGUAAUUGCAUCCAACUUUUCCUCAGGUAAAAGAGACAGUCUUACAAAAUUUCAAAAUCACCAAUGAAGCACUUAAAGUAAGCACUCUUCUUUAUGCGUGUCCCUUACUUUGCAGUUUUUUUUUUUUUAUUCUGAAAUGGAAUCUUUUUAGCUCUCCACAAAUACCUUGGUGAGCCCUCAACACUUCCUAACCACUUAAUAAUUUUGACCCAGUCAGCCUCUUCAAAUAGAUCUUUAACCACAAGAAUGCUUGCAAUCCCCCGAACAUAGCCUCUGUCCAAAAGGAAAAGAUAGGAUUUUGUGAGGCCUAAAUGAAGUGAGAGAAAACAAAAUAAAUGUAGCUGAAGCUGAGAGUGAAAAGUGCUUGGACAGAUUGGUAUUUUCUUUUCUGCACUGCAUCCUGCCAAUCUUCUUCCCCCAUACCCCACUCCUUAAUUAGGUCCGAAUUUGGCAUGUAGGAAAAUGUUAUCUACCACCUCAAGUCCCCCCAUAAUUACUAAUGUUUUGUUUUAAUGGGUCUUCAUCCGACUGAUAUACUGCCCCCGCUUCACCCUGUCAACACCCCAACUCUGGGAGACCUUAGUUGUAGAAACCCUGCGGACCCCCGACGACUCAUCCCACCGGAUCCCUUUCAUAUGAUUUUUUUUUUCAGUCGUGAGAUUCCCCCACUGGAGAGGUUGCAGUGACAACCAGAAAUUUUCAUUUAACUCUCCCCUGCCUUCCUGGGCCCCAAUUUUGACCCGAUCGCUGUGGAGCAGCACAGCAGGGGCCGGCCUGGCUCCUUUGCUCCGGAAGGGUUUAAUUGCACACUCGCCUCCCGGUGGGUUUCAGGCCCCAAGGCUCGAAGAUCCCCGCCCAGCCGCGGAGCCUCCUCUACUUGGAUCCCUAGCCUCAGCUAGAGACUCGAGGACCCUGAGCCUCCCCGGCCGCCCAGAGGGCGGCGCCCUCCGGGGUACCUCCGCCCUUCGCUGCUGUGCCCACCCCCUGCCGGCAGAGCGCCUCUCGCCUGGGCCGCAGUAGUCAGUGAUCUGCUCCAUUGGGCGAACACCUUCGUUGGCCGACAUACACUCCAGCUUCGCAGGAGGCGGGCGCCGCUAGACCGCAGGUUAAGAGAUUGUGGCCAGACUAUAUAAUCGCUCCGGAGCGGGAAGAGGAGGGAUCAGCGCUCUCCUACUGCGGUAGCGCAGCGAUUUGGCUAGGCUGAGUGUGUCUGCAGCUAUGCCCAGCUUGCUCCGGCAGGCGAGGAGAUAGGUCCUUCCAGCCUGGAGGCUGCAAGUGUGACUCCUAGUGUCCUCUAGACGACACCUCUAAGGAAAGAGUGCGCACCGGGGUUCCAAUGUGCCUCGCCGCUGGCAGCCUCCAGCCAGCACUGAGAAGGACAGCCUGAGCCUCAGCCACCAGUAGUGUGAGUGCUUGGCAUAGAUCUGGGAAGGCGCCUACAGGAAGUCUUUCAAGAGUGAAGACCUGAAGAAAGGCUGCGGCUUCGUGGCUCCGAAGAGCCUCCAAGUGCAGACCCGCAAGGAGGCCAUGCCACUCUUCACCAUCCAGGAGGUGGCUGGCAAGAGGACCUGGAGACCUUUGAGCACCCCAACGUGGUCAGGCAGAUUCGGGUUGGAGAGAACAGUGCAACAGACUCAACAGUCAAAGAUAAUGUAAAGCGGAAAAAGCUACUGGUCCAAAACAUACAGGAAAUUCAGGACUCAAUGAGAAGAUCAAACCUAAGGAUAAUAGGUAUAGAAGAGAGUGAAGAAUCCCAGCUCAAAGGACCAGCAAAUAUCUUCAACAAAAAUCAUAGAAGAAAACUUCCCUAACCUAAAAAAAGAGAUACCCAUAGGCAUACAAGAAGCCUACAGAAUUCAAAAUAGCUUGGACCGGAAAAGAAGCACCUCCCGCUACAUAAUAGUCAAAACACCCAAUGCACAAAAUAACGAAAGAAUAUUAAAAGCAGUAGGGGAAAAAGGUCAAAGGUACACCUAUCAGAAUCACACCAGACUUUUCGCCAGAGACUAUGAAAGCCAGAAGAUCCUGGACUGAUGUCAUACAGCCUCUAAGAGAACACAAAUGCCAACCCAGGUUACAGUAUCCUGUAAAACUCUCAAUUAACAUACAUGGAGAAACCAAGAUAUUGCAUGACAAAACCAAAUUGACACAAUAUCUUUCUACAAAUCCAGCACUACAAAGGAUAAUAAAUGGUAAAGCCCAACAUAAGGAGGCAAGCUACACCCUAGAAAAAGCAAGAAACUAAUCGUCUUGGCAACAAAACAAAGAGAAGAAAAGCACACAAACAUAACCUCACAUCCAAAUAUAAAUAUAACAGGAAGCAAUAAUCACUAUUCCUUACUAUCUCUCAACAUCAGUGGUCUCAACUCCUCAAUAAAAAGAUAUAGAUUAACAAACUGGAUACGCAACGAGGACCCUGCAUUUUGCUGCCUACAGGAAACACACCUCAGAGAAAAAGACAGACACUACAUCAGAAUUAAAGGCUGGAAAUCAACUUUCCAAACAAAUGGUCGGAAGAAGCAAGCUGGAGUAGCCAUUCUAAUAUCAAAUAAAAUCAAUUUUCAACUAAAAUUCAUCAAAAAGAUAAGGAAGGACACUUCAUAUUUAUCAAAGGAAAAAGCCACCAAGAUAAACUCUCAAUCCUAAAUAUCUAUCUAAAUAAAUAUCCCAAAUACUAGGGCACCUAAAUACGUAAAAGAAACCUUACUAAAGCUCAAAACACACAUUGCAGUUCACACAAUAAUAGUAGGAGAUUUCAACACCCCACUCUCAUCAAUUGACAGAUCAUGGAAUCAGAAAUUAAACAGAGAUGUAGACAGACUAAGAGAAGUCAUGAACCAAAUGGACUUAACAGAUAUUUAUAGAACAUUCUAUCCUAAAGUAAAAGGAUAUGCAUCCUUCUCAGCUCCUCAUGGUACUUUCUCUAAAAUUGACCAUAUAAUUGGUCAUAAAACGGGCCUCAAAAGGUACAGAAAGAUAGAAAUAAUGCCAUGCGUGCUAUCAGACCACCACGGCCUAAAACUGGUCUUCAAUAAUAAUAAGGGAAGAACGCCCACAUAUACAUGAAAGUUGAACAAUGCUCUACUCAACGAUAACCUCGACAAGGAAGAAAUAAAGAAAGAAAUUAAAGACGUCUUAGAAUUUAAUGAAAAUGAAUGUACAACAUACCCAAACUUAUGGGACACAAUGAAAGCUAUGCUAAGAGGAAAACUCAUAACUCUGAGUGCAUGCAGAAAGAAACAUGAGAGAGCAUAUGUCAGUAGCUUGACAGCACACCUAAAAGCUCUAGAACAAAAAGAAGCAAAUACACCCAGGAGGAGUAGAAGACAGGAAAUAAUCAAACUCAGAGCUGAAAUCAGCCAAGUAGAAACAAAAAGUACCAUAGAAAGAAUAAACAAAACCAACAGUUGGUUCUUUGAGAAAAUCAACAAGAUAGAUAGAUAAACCCUUAGCCAGUCUGACGAGAGGACACAGAGAGUGUUUCCAAAUUAACAAAAUCAGAAAUGAAAAUGGAGACAUAACUACAUAUUCAGAGGAAAUUCAAAAAAUCGUCAGAUCUUACCAUAAAAGUCUAUAUUCAAAAAACUUGAAAAUCUGCAGGAAAUGGACAAUUUCCUAGACAGAUAGCAGGUACCCAGUUAAAUCAGGAACAGAUAAACCAGUUAAACAACCCCAUAACUCCUAAGGAAAUAGAAGCAGUCAUUAAAUGUCUCCCAACCAAAAAGAGCCCAGGUCCAGAAGGGUUUAGUGCAGAAUUCUAUCAAACCUUCAUAGAAGACCAUACCAAUAUUAUCCAAACUAUUCCACACAAUUGAAAAAGAUGGAGCACUACCGAAUUCAUUCUAUGAAGCCACAGUUACUCUUAUACCUGAAACACACAAAGAACCAACAAUGAAAGAGAACUUCAGACCAAUUUCCCUUAUGAAUAUCAACGCAAAAAUACUCAGUAAAAUUCUGGCAAACUGAAUCCAAGAACACAUCAAAACAAUCAUCCAACAUGAUCAAGUAGGUUUCAUCCCAGGCAUACAGGGAUGGUUUAAUAUACGGAAAACCAUCUAGAUGAUCCAUUAUAUAAACAAACUGAUAGAACAAAACCACAUGAUCAUUUCAUUAGAUGCUGAGAAAGCAUUUGACAAAAUUCAACACCCCUUCAUGAUAAAAGUCCUGGAAAGUAUAGGAAUUCAAGGCCCAUACCUAAACAUAUUAAAAGCCAUAUACAGCAAACCAGUUGCUAACAUUAAACUAAAUGGAGAGAAACAUGAAGCAAUCCCACUAAACCCAGGGACUAAACAAGGCUGCCCACUCUCCCUCCUUAUUCAAUAUAGUUUUUGAAGUCCUAGCCAGAGCAAUCAGACAACAAAAAUAAAUCAAUGGAUUCAGAUUGGUAAAGAAGAAGUCAAAAUAUCACUAUUUGCAGAUGAUAUGGUAGUAUAUUUAAGUGAUCCCAAAAGUUCCAAAAGAGAACUACUAAAGCUGAUAAACAACUUCAGCAAAGUGGCUGGGUAUAAAAUUAACUCAAAUAAAUCAGUAGCCUUCCUCUACACAAAAGAGAAACAAGCUGAGAAAGAAAUUAGGGAAACGACACCCUUCAUAAUAGACCCAAACAAUAUAAAGUACCUCUAAAAGAUCUGUACAAUAAGAACUUCAAGACUCUGAAGAAAGAAAUUGAAGAAGACCUCAGAAGAUGGAAAGAUCUCCCAUGCUCAUGGAUUGGCAGGAUUAAUAUAGUAAAAAUGGCCAUUUUACCAAAAGCGAUCUACAGAUUCAAUGCAAUCCCAUCAAAACACCAAUCCAAUUCUUCAAAGAGUUAGACAGAACAAUUUGCAAAUUCAUGUGGAAUAACAAAAAACCCAGGAUAGCUAAAACUAUCCUCAACAAUAAAAGGACUUCGGGGGGAAUCACUAUCCCUGAACUCAAGCAGUAUUACAGAGCAAUAGUGAUAAAAACUGCAUAGUAUUGAUACAGAGACAGACAGAUAGACAAAUGGAACAGAAUUGAAGACCCAGAAAUGAGCCCACACACCUAUGGGCACCUGAUUUUUGACAAAGGAGCCAAAACCAUUCAAUGGAAAAAAGACAGCAUUUUCAGCAAAUGGUGCUGGUUCAACUGGAGGUCAACAUGUAGAAGAAUGCAAAUGGAUCCAUGCUUAUCACCCUGUACAAAACUUAAGUCCAAGUGGAUCAAGACCUCCACAUCAAACCAGAUACACUGAAACUAAUAGAAGAAAAACUAGGGCAGCAUCUCGAACACAUGGGCACUGGAAAAAAUUUCCUGAACAAAACACCAAUGGCUUAUCCUCUAAGAUAUAGAAUCGACAAAUGGGAUCUCAUAAAACUGCAAAGCUGCUGUAAGGCAAAGGACACUGUGGUUAGGACAAAACGGCAACCAACAGAUUGGGAAAAGAUCUUUACCAAUCCUACAACAGAUAGAGGGCUUAUAUCCAAAAUAUACAAAGAACUCAAGAAGUUAGACCGCAGGGAGACAAAUAACCCUAUUAAAAAAAUGGGGUUCAGAACUAAACAAAGAAUUCACAGCUGAGGAAUGCUGAAUGGCUGCGAAACACCUAAAGAAAUGUUCAACAUUUUUAGUCAUAAGGGAAAUGCAAAUCAAAACAACCCUGAGAUUUCACAUCACACCAGUGAUAAUGGCUAAGAUCAAAAACUCAGGUGACAACAAAUGCUGGCGGGGGUGUGGAGAAAGAGGAACACUCCUCCAUUGUUGGUGUGAUUGCAGACUGGUAAACUAUUCUGGAAAUCAGUCUGGAGGUUCCUCAGAAAAUUGGACAUUGAACUACCUGAGGAUCCACCUAUACCUUUCUUGGUCAUAUACCCACAAGAUUCCCUAAAAUAUAAAAAAGACACAUGCUCUAUGUUCAUAGCAACCUUAUAUAUAAUAGCCAGAAGCUGGAAAGAACCCUGAUGCCCUUCAACAGAAGAAUGGAUACAGAAAAUGUGGCACAUCUACACAAUGGAAUUUUACUCAGCUAUUAAAAACAAUGCCUUUUUGAAAUUCAGAGACAAAUGGCUGGAACCCAAUCACAGAAAAACACACAUGGUAUUACUCAUUGUAAGUGGCUAUUAGCCCAAAUGCUUGAAUUACCCUAGAUGCCUAGAACAAAUGAAACUCAAGACGGAUGAUCAAAAUGUGAAUGCUUCACUCCUUCUUUAAAAGGGGAACAAGAAUACCCUUGGCAGGGAAUAGAGAGGCAUAGAUUAAAACAUACACAGAAGGAACACCCAGUCAGAGCCUGCCCCACAUGUGGCCCAUCCAAUUAGACAAGAUGGAUGAAACAAAGAAGUGCAGGCCGACAGGAGCUGGAUGUAGAUCGCUCCUGAGAGACACAGCCAGAAUACAGCAAAUACAGAGGCGAAUCCCAGCAGCAAACCACUGAACUGAGAACGGGACUCCUGUUGAAGGAAUCAGAGAAAGAAAUUGAAGAGCUUGAAGGAGCUCAAGACCCCUUAUGAACAACAAUGCCAAGCCACUAGAGCUUCCAGGGACUAAGUCACCACCUAAAGACUAUACAUGGACUGACCCUGGACUCUGACCUCAUUGGUAGCAAUGAAUAUCCUAGUAAGAUCACCAGUGGAAGGGGAAGCCCUUGGUCCUGCUAAGACUGAACCCCCAGUGAAUGUGAUUAUUGGGGGGAGAGUGGCAAUGGGGGGAGGGUGGUGAGGGGAACACCCAUAAAGAAGGGGAGGGGGAGGGAUUAGGGGGAUGUUUGCUCGGAAACCGGGAAAGGGAAUAACAUUUGAAAUGUAAAUAAGAAAUACUCAAGUUAAUAAAAAAAUAAGAAAAAAAAAGAUAGUAUACUGAAAGAAAGAAAAGGUGGUAUGGAAUAUGUGUAUAGCAGUUUUACAAAGAGUGUUUUACAGAGACUGGUUACAGAGAUAUCAAGCUAGAUACAGGUGAAGACAGAGUGAGCAAGAGAAUGAGAACAAGACAGAAAAUUAAAAAAUAUUGUCAAAGUUAGUAUGGAGCCAGGCAGAGCAAUUCAGUCAGAAACCCAGAGAAGCCAGACUGAAUCAGUCAGCUUGGAGAGGAGUUUUGAGCCAGAACAUCUGAGUUGAGCAGACAGCCAGAGUUCAGGAAGAACUAGAAGGAUGAGCUUAUUCAGCAGUAACCCUCUGAGGAGAGGAUUACAUUUGGCAUCCAAUGUAAUUGGAGAGAAAGAAAGCCAGCCCAUCAGUGUUGCAGACAGCAGAGUCUAUCUGAGAGAAAAUCACAGAGGACAGGAGACAUAUGAGAGAAAGCUACAGAAGAGAGAUUCACCUAGGAUCAUCUCCAAAGAAGGCAUCUGUUCUUCCAGUUCAGCUAGAUGGCCAGAGAGACUUAGAAGACUCUGGAGCAGCCGGAGCUUCAAUUCCAGAGUAAUGAAUGAUACAGGAGCCUCUGAGAGAGUGAAUCACAGUAAAUCAUCCACAAAGACAAUUUUAACAAUACAGACAGACUUUUCCUGCAUUAAAAAUGGGAAACUCCAUUUCAGAUCCCUGAAGAUCAAGAGCAGGAAUUGAAGGCAUAGAAAAAAUACUUGAAAAAGCAUUGCAGUAUUUAUUGCAACUGGGACCACUGGAGUAAAUCUUUCCCCACUUUCAAUUGAAAUAUUUAUAUAUUUCCUCUUUAAAAGGUGAUAUAGAUAUAUUAUUCUUGUAUGAAGUUCUCAAAAAAUAAAAUUAGUGAAAAUAAAUCGUUAAAAAAUAAAAAAGAAUUGUCACAUAUAUAUAUAUAUAUAUAUAUGUGUGUGUGUGUGUGUGUGUGUGUGUGUGUUGUGUGUGUGUGUGUGUGUGCGCGCGUGCGUGUGACAUGAACUUUGGGAAGAUAUAGAUAGGGAGGUAGGUAGAUAGAUAGAUAGAUAGAUAGAUAUUCCAUUAUUUGUUAUGUCAUUUAAAAAUAAUGAAAAGACAGCAAGGACAAUGAAACUAGAAUUUUGGCGAGGAUGUUCAGCGAAAGAUUGCUUUGUUACUGUUUUGAGUGAAGUUGAGUUUGUGAGGAAGAGAAAAAACCCUCAUGGGUGCUUAUCACUAAUGUUAUUCAUCAGAAGAGGGCUAUUUGGGGGACUCCAUAGAUGCUCAGUUCACUUUUGUAUGUGUUGAUUCAUUUAGAAGAUAUUUAUUCGGAGGAUAAGUCAUAUAAAGAAAAACAAAAUCUACUUGGGAUAGAUCUAGCACAAACUAUAAUAUUUAUACACCCCACCCCAACCCAUCCCACCCCCCAUCCAGGGGCAAAACUUUUGCUCAUUUUGUUUCAUUUGUAUUGGAAUUUCUCUUGAAUAUUCUGUGGCAUGAUUAUCAUUUACCAUGGUGUUAAUCAUCUGAAGAGAAUAUAGGGUCUUGGUAAGUAAUUUUCAAGCUGAUAGGCUUAAUAUAUGUACCAUUAGUGCUUGAUUUUAUAUUUAUUAUUCAAUGAUGUAUAUGUUAAUAAAAUGUAUAUAAAAUAGAAAUCUUCACAGAAUAAGAUUGGUACAGUUGAGAGUUUAUACUGUGUUCUCUCAUUAAACCCUAUUGGAUGAUUUGCCUGCUUAUUAAUAAAGCUUGUUAUAAAACUUG
This is a long non-coding RNA of Rattus norvegicus (Norway rat), 8916 nucleotides long. RefSeq lists it as uncharacterized. NCBI's taxonomy places the organism in Eukaryota, Metazoa, Chordata, Mammalia, Rodentia, Muridae. The record is from RefSeq and is a predicted model, not a curated record.